Molecule: long non-coding RNA, 2819 nt
Filed under: Helianthus annuus (common sunflower)
Lineage: Eukaryota; Viridiplantae; Streptophyta; Magnoliopsida; Asterales; Asteraceae
Description: hypothetical non coding rna
Source: RNAcentral
UGGUCGUGAUUUACACAGGAGCAAAAAGGGUUUCUUGAUCAAACCCUAAAUCACAAGAAAUUAAGCCAAAUCAAGGGAAAUGAAGCUAGGAAAUUGGGGCUUUAACUAAAAUCAUGAUCACCCAGCUUAGGGGAUCACAAGGUAUGUUGAAUUUUGAAGUUUGGUGAUAUUUUGAAAUUUUGAUGAACAUGCAUGAAUGAAAUUCUGGAAUGAAUGUUGAAUAUAUGAAUGAUAUUGAGUUGAAACAAUGUCUAAGAACAAAUCCUAGUUGAUAAUUUGACGAAUUAGUGAUGAAAACUAUGAAAUUGAUAAUCACCCAUAUAUGUGUUAAGUGGGUUUUUAGAACAAAGUGAUGAACACAAGAAUUUGUAUCCUAGGUUGUGAAAAAAAAAUUGAUGUUAUGAUGCAAGAUUGAUAUUGUUCAAGAGUGCUAGACACAAGGGUUUGAUUUAAUGAUAUGAAAUAUGGUUAAAAAGAUUAGCCAUGAACAAAAUAGAAGAGGUAUAGAAAUCAUGCUCGCUUGGUGUUUGUUAAAAUGCCUAAACAAAUGUUUAUAUGUUGAAAUUAUGAAAGAAACACGUAAUUGGCUAACUUGACUAAUUUCGUGGGAUAUGUAAUAGUACGGGUUUUGAACAUGAUGGUGUAUGAGAAUCACCAAACAGAACUUGAAUAUAUGUAAAUUUUAGUUCUAGUUCUUAAUUUGACAAAGAUGAAGUUGAGAAGAUGAUAAAAUUAGGAUUCAUAUGAUGACUUCUUGAAAUAGAUGAUGUUUUGACAUCUCUUAGCCUACAAUCAUUGUGCUAUAGGUUUCUAACCAUUACCAAGAGUUUAAUAAGGGUUAUAGCCAUGGAAAUGGGUUGCAUUUGAUGGUUUGGGUCGAAUUUGAAAGGACCCUAAACAUGAUUUUCGUAGCUUUUAUAUGUAUUUUGACUAAUCUUAAAAAAAUCAUAUAAAAUCAACCGUUUAUCCGAUUUGGGUGUUCUAUACCUUUUCGAAAAGCUUAUGAAGUAAAAUUUUUACUGUUUUCAAUAAUAAGAAAUAAAUGUGGUUGUUAAAUAGGCCAAAUAGGCGAAUUGAAACUGCUGUUCAGAACUUGCAAGAUGUUGAAAUAAAAAUAUAGUUGCUAAGCUGAUUUUAUAAAAGUCAUAUAAAAUCAUAGAAAAUUCAUUAGAAGGUGUACCUUAUAUGCUUGCGAAGGUAUUGGAGCGUUGUACGAUCCAUCUUUGAACAUGUUGAUCUAAUUCAGAUUUUAAACGGGUCAAAAUGGUCAAUUUCAGCAGCUGAAUAGAAAAUCGCUGCACAUAAAUAAUGUUCUUAUUAACCAAGAAAAAGGCAUAGGAUUGUAUAUACUUGCUUUAGGCAUGAAUUAUUGAUUGUUGGGAACAAAUAGCACUUUAUGUGACAUACUUAAAGUGUUUAAAAUCACUUACUAACUAAUUGUAUAAGUAACUUCACUAACGGGUCAAACGGUUAGUGAAUGAAAAGAAUUAUGGUAUGAAACUAGUUGUUGAAUGUAUGGCAUGCUUUGAUUGAUAAGUGUGUAAAAAAAAGGGGUUCCAUAGGGUGAUGGCCAUUAUAUAGAAUGACCAAUCUAACCAUCUUAUGGAUGUUAUGAUAUAGUUGACUCUAAACAAGCUAGGUGGGAGCUUGGAAAGUAACGGGUCAAACGGAUCAUGGAUGCGAAGAAUGUUUGUGCGGACGCGAAGUGAUAAAUACAUCAAUAGAUCAUGUUUGAAUUAUGGGUCCCGACACGAAACGAAAUGGGUCGGAACGAAUAAAAACGUUUAGAACCAUGAUUUGUAAUAAAUAUAAUUGUUUGGUCGUAUAGACCAAAUGGGUCAAAUGAUGGUGAUAACAUCAUAUGACCAUAUCGACUAAUAUUGGUUGUUAAGUCAUAUGUUUACAGGAAUGAAUAGAAUUUUGGAUAAUUGCGUCAUCAUAGAAUAUUGAAUUAAUAAUAGCAAGGCAUAAACGGGUCUAUACGUUGACUCGAACCAGGUACGCUUAUAUAUAGAUUUAUAGUUAAAAGUGUUUAACUUCCCUUCACGGGUCAAAAGGAGUAGAUAGGUAAAACGGGUUAAGAAUUCAUAAGAAACCCGUAAUUUGAACCUUGCACAUUAGUAAAUUGAUAUAACGUGAUAUGCAUGACAUUUUGAAAAGGUAAUAAGCAAGUUUGUUUGAUAAAUCACGAACGGGUCAAAAAGUGUCAUAAUUGAAUUUCAAGCCGAGAGCUUGAAAGUUAAAAUUUUGUGAAUUUAGAUGCUGGAUUUUAACUCCAUAUGAUGGAGGAUCAAAUUACAAUCACGUAGGAAGAAACGCUAGGUCAAACGGACAAGCGGACUAAAAGUUAUGAAGGUUUACGUUCUAGAAAACGACAAACUUGGAAAAUCCUGCAGAGGCCACCGUAAGUUACGGUAGAUACCGUAACUUACGGUAGCCUUAAGGUCUGUACGCCACACACCCACUGCUUUACGGUAGGAGAAUCAACAUUCAGGGGCUACCGUAAAUUACGGUAGCCACCGUAAUUUACGGUAGACCCUGUAAUAAAAAAAUGUAUUUUAUUCAGUUUUCCUUCCCGGACUCGUUUAGAUACGUUUUAAACCCCGUAUGACUAAAGCAUUUCAUGUUUAUGAAAUGUAGGUACAUUUUGGAUGCCGGAAGACGAUCAAGCUCAACGAAGAACCGAACACGAUAAAGAUACAUGCUUCCGCACAUUGCCUCGUCGUAAAUUUUAAACGACGAAUUCGAUUACGCUAUGUUGAAUAACUUAUGAUUUGUAAAGUUUUAACGAACCCGUAUUUUUCAAUGUAUUGAAAUCU